RNAcentral lists this unclassified non-coding RNA (378 nucleotides) under plant metagenome. Its description in RNAcentral is "partial contains 5.8S ribosomal RNA, internal transcribed spacer 2, and large subunit ribosomal RNA". The stretch from base 1 to 105 matches the Rfam family "5.8S ribosomal RNA", at positions 50 to 154 of the family's 154-position model. The record is from RNAcentral.
GAAAUGCGAUAAGUAAUGUGAAUUACAGAAUUCAGUGAAUCAUCGAAUCUUUGAACGCACCUUGCGCUCCUUGGUAUUCCUUGGAGCAUGCCUGUUUGAGUAUCAUGAAAUCUUCAAAGUAAAUCUUUUGUUAACUCAAUUGGUUUCUACUUUGGUAUUGGAGGUCUUUGCAGCUUCACACCUGCUCCUCUUUGUUCAUUAGCUGGAUCUCAGUGUUAUGCUUGGUUCCACUCGGCGUGAUAAGUUAUCUAUCGCUGAGGACACUGUAAAAGGUGGCCAAGGUAAAUGCAGAUGAACCGCUUCUAAUAGUCCAUUGACUUGGACAAUACUUUUAUGAUCUCAUCUCAAAUCAGGUAGGACUACCCGCUGAACUUAAGC